RNAcentral lists this transfer-messenger RNA (373 nucleotides) under Puniceicoccales bacterium. It matches the Rfam family "transfer-messenger RNA". From Rfam's summary of the family: Bacterial tmRNA, also known as 10Sa RNA or SsrA, is named for its dual tRNA and mRNA-like properties. Its role is to liberate the mRNA from a stalled ribosome. The record is from RNAcentral. Lineage: Bacteria; Pseudomonadati; Verrucomicrobiota; Opitutia; Puniceicoccales.
GGGGGUGACAUGGAUUCGACUAUUAAUCGUAGGAAAACAUGGCAUGUCGAAGAUGACGGUUGGCUUCGUAAAAAUCCGUUAAAAUCAUAAAUGACAAAAACAUUAUGAAAUUAAACUUCAGAAAUGAAGUUGCCAAAGCUGCUUAAUUAAAAGCAGCGCGUUCGUCGCAUGAUGCUUGGUAGUGCGAACGGAUGUAUUUACCAAGCGGGUGCCAUGGGAGUGCGUAACGGCCAUGGCGCUCUACAAACGUUACGAUAGGUAAUGGCGGCAUGCUGAUAUGCUAAAAUUGCCGAAAACUAAAAAUCAGCUAAGCAUGUAGAGGUAUUUUGUGAAAAUUAGUGGGACGCGGGUUCGACUCCCGCCACCUCCACCA